Pelodiscus sinensis (Chinese soft-shelled turtle) is the source of this 846-nucleotide non-coding RNA. The record is from RefSeq and is a predicted model, not a curated record. NCBI's taxonomy places the organism in Eukaryota, Metazoa, Chordata, Testudines, Trionychidae.
ACCCUGCCUAGAAGUAGCAGAGUGAUUGGAAAAGAAUGUCUUUGCCCUUGACAUGUGAAAUGUCUUAUUACGGGAUCUCUGAAAAGUGCUGAGCUGUUAAGUGUUUAAGCGACACAACGUGCCAUUCAAAGCUUCUGCAGUUGGAGAGCCCGUGCCAAUCUGAUCAGCAUGAACUACACUUGCAGAGGUUUGCCACGUCCCAGAGCUAUCACUUUGCCUUACCUCACUAAUAACACUCCCCAUUUGUUCCACUCUCCCCCCUUGUCUCAGUGUGGGCAUGUACUUGCAUGUCUUUCUCUCGUGCUCUCUGGUGUAUUUCACCUCUUGUGACGGCUGCAGGCUCCUCCUGCAAUCUGCAAAGGGAAACUUCCCUGCAAUGGGCUUGGUUCUUCCUCUCUGAUCCCAAGUCCACUUGCCUCAAACCAAGACUCCCCAGAAAAUAAACUUGUCUCCCUCCCUUCCCCCAUCCAUCCAAACUGCAUAGCAGUGCAGUGCCCACAGCUGCUAUUUUUCCUGAGCUGCAGCUUCAGGUUGUUGCUGCCCUACUCCUGGCUAUUAAUUCCAGUUUCUUUGCUGCUUUCUCCUCUCAGCACAAGAGCAGAUAUCUCAAAGUGUGGAAACUGAAAAGGAAGAAAGCUAAAGGAACAGUGCUAAAGGAUCAGAAGCAAAGAUGAUUCAGAGUUAUACACGGAAAGGUCUCCUGAGAGCGAGCUAGAUGGCCAUGCUAACCUCAGCGCAUUGUGUUCCAGUAUGGUGAUGUAACUGCAUAAGAGAAUUUGUGGCAAAUUUCACCAUGGGUGCAAACACCUCUUCUAGCAAACCACCAGUCUUUGAUGAAAAUGAAGA